CUCCAGGCACUGCUGGCUGUGAGUGUGAGCCACUGUAAAUUAGGGGCAGAGGGCACUUGCAUUGCGGUAAAGACGGGUCUGGGCAGGAGGAGAGUGCAGUGCAAUCAGUGCACUCCCCUCCUGUGGGUUACCAGUAGACUGGUGCACUUGCCCAGGAUCAGAGCCGGUGCAAGGAUUUUUGCUGCCCUAGGCAAAAGAAAAAUUUGCAGUCCCUCAUGUGACAUGACAAUGCCCCACCCAUAUGAUCUUCCAUAUGAACUAACGCCAGUGCUGCACACAGUGUGUGUUUACAUUAAAAAGCCUGCAGGGACCAGCUAUAGACACCAGAACCACUUCAUUAAGCUGAAGUGGUUCUGGGGGCUAUAGUGUCCCUUUAAUGUGAGGUAAAU
Pelobates cultripes (western spadefoot toad) is the source of this 389-nucleotide non-coding RNA. The record is from the annotation of a GenBank genome assembly. Lineage: Eukaryota; Metazoa; Chordata; Amphibia; Anura; Pelobatidae.